This 331-nucleotide ribosomal RNA is filed under the name uncultured bacterium. RNAcentral describes it as "bacterial SSU rRNA". It matches the Rfam family "Bacterial small subunit ribosomal RNA", at positions 568 to 898 of the family's 1533-position model. The record is from RNAcentral.
UGUGUAGGCGGCCUUUUAAGUUUGGUGUGAAAUCUCCCGGCUUAACCGGGAGGGUGCGCCGAAUACUGAAGGGCUAGAGUGCGGGAGAGGAGAGUGGAAUUCCUGGUGUAGCGGUGAAAUGCGUAGAUAUCAGGAGGAACACCGGUGGUGUAGACGGCUCUCUGGACCGUAACUGACGCUGAGACACGAAAGCGUGGGUAGCAAACAGGAUUAGACUACCCUGGUAGUCCACGCCCUAAACGAUGCAUAUUUGGUGUGGGUCAUUCAGUUGAUCCGUGCCGGAGCUAACGCGUUAAAUAUGCCGCCUGGGGAGUACAGUCGCAAGGCUGAA